AGAGUUUGAUCAUGGCUCAGAUUGAACGCUGGCGGCAGGCUUAACACAUGCAAGUCGAGCGGUAACAGGAGAAGCUUGCUUCUCGCUGACGAGCGGCGGACGGGUGAGUAAUACUUAGGAAUCUGCCCAGUAGUGGGGGAUAGCACGGGGAAACUCGUAUUAAUACCGCAUACACCCUACGGGGAAAAGGGGGCGCUUGCGCUCUCGCUAUUGGAUGAGCCUAAGUCGGAUUAGCUAGUUGGUGGGGUAAAGGCCUACCAAGGCGACGAUCUGUAGCUGGUCUGAGAGGAUGAUCAGCCACACCGGGACUGAGACACGGCCCGGACUCCUACGGGAGGCAGCAGUGGGGAAUAUUGGACAAUGGGGGCAACCCUGAUCCAGCCAUGCCGCGUGUGUGAAGAAGGCCUUUUGGUUGUAAAGCACUUUAAGCAGUGAAGAAGACUCUAUGGUUAAUACCCAUAGACGAUGACAUUAGCUGCAGAAUAAGCACCGGCUAACUCUGUGCCAGCAGCCGCGGUAAUACAGAGGGUGCAAGCGUUAAUCGGAUUUACUGGGCGUAAAGCGCGCGUAGGUGGCCAAUUAAGUCAAAUGUGAAAUCCCCGAGCUUAACUUGGGAAUUGCAUUCGAUACUGGUUGGCUAGAGUAUGGGAGAGGAUGGUAGAAUUCCAGGUGUAGCGGUGAAAUGCGUAGAGAUCUGGAGGAAUACCGAUGGCGAAGGCAGCCAUCUGGCCUAAUACUGACACUGAGGUGCGAAAGCAUGGGGAGCAAACAGGAUUAGAUACCCUGGUAGUCCAUGCCGUAAACGAUGUCUACUAGCCGUUGGGGCCUUUGAGGCUUUAGUGGCGCAGCUAACGCGAUAAGUAGACCGCCUGGGGAGUACGGUCGCAAGACUAAAACUCAAAGGAAUUGACGGGGACCCGCACAAGCGGUGGAUGAUGUGGAUUAAUUCGAUGCAACGCGAAAAACCUUACCUACCCUUGACAUGCCAGGAACUUGCCAGAGAUGGCUUGGUGCUCGAAAGAGAGCCUGGACACAGGUGCUGCAUGGCUGUCGUCAGCUCGUGUCG
Molecule: ribosomal RNA, 1066 nt
Filed under: uncultured bacterium
Lineage: Bacteria
Description: bacterial SSU rRNA
Rfam family: Bacterial small subunit ribosomal RNA
Source: RNAcentral